Molecule: long non-coding RNA, 781 nt
Organism: Carassius auratus (goldfish)
Lineage: Eukaryota; Metazoa; Chordata; Actinopteri; Cypriniformes; Cyprinidae
Exons: 4
Source: RefSeq, a predicted model, not a curated record
GUGGCUAAGAGUCCUCCUAAAAGAGACACAAAGUCUGGUUUCAUCUAAAAAGCAGCGUGAACCAACCAUCAUGCUGAAGAUCUUAAAGCUCCACCUCUAUCUGCUUAUAUGGUGUCAAGCUGCAGAGACUUUAACAGAUCAACUAACAGAUUUGGGUCAAAAUGUGACUAUAAACUGUGAUCUUGAUGCAAAGGUGGCCACAUGGUUUUUUCUGAAUUUACCAAAUCCUCCGGUUGUGCUAUUGGACUCACUCUUAAACCCACAAUCAGUAUAUUACUACAAAAAUAACUUCAGGUUCAAAUAUUCAGUGCAACCUAAACAUUGUCUUUCCAUAAAUAACAUCACUUUUAAUGAGUUAGGAGUUUAUUAUUGCAUAAACACAGAAACAGAGGUAAAAUUCAGCAACGGCAUCAGACUACAGACUAUCAGCAUACACACUGAUCCAACUACACCUGCAGUUACCGAGUUACCACAGUGUCAGAAUUGCACUGAAGUGUUGCUAAAUGAGCAGACAACAUGGAUGAAUCUUCUUGCUCUAAUAUUUUGCAUGAUCAGUGUUUUACUGAUCAUUGGGAUGAUAGCAUUCCUGAGAUUGUUAAAAGUUUCAUCUGAUGGAAGUUACCAAAAACCACAACGACAUAUGGACCAAGAGUAGUAUCAAAUUACAGAUCUUGGGGUGACCAGAGUCCCAACUCUCUUAAAAUUGUAAAGGUAACACUUUAGAAUAGGUAAGACUUGUUAACUAUUAACUACAACAUUUAUCUAAAUACAUUCUUAAUUU